AUGUGGAAACUGACGAGCAUCUACGGUGAGCCUAUCUGGAGCUGUAAACGCCGUACCAUUCAGCCACUGAGGGAUUUGCAUGCCCAGUCGAGAUUGCCGUGGGUUGUAAUAGAGGACUUCAACGAGAUUCUUUACUCGGAUGAAAAAGAGGGUGGGGCUCCCAGAAGCCAGCCUUGCCUCCAGGCCUUCCAGGAUGCCCUAACUGAUUGUUCACUUGAGGAUCUAGGCUUCAACGGAGACAAGUUUACAUGGUUUUGUGGAGGGCUGCGAGAGAGACUGGACCGAGCUGUCUCUAAUGAGACAUGGCUGUUAAUGCACCCGUUAGCUAGACUCAGUAACUUGGAGAUGGGUAAGUCGGACCAUAGGCCGAUUUGCCUUGAUACAGAUUAUCUAGAAGGGGUGGCAGAACCUACUGUAAUUGCCCCACGUAAGUUCAAGGCGAGGUGGCUCGAGGAGGAAACUGUGGAAGAAAUAGUUUAA
RNAcentral lists this ribosomal RNA (480 nucleotides) under Triticum aestivum (bread wheat). RNAcentral describes it as "partial small subunit ribosomal RNA". Lineage: Eukaryota; Viridiplantae; Streptophyta; Magnoliopsida; Poales; Poaceae. The record is from RNAcentral.